AAUUCGAUACUCAACCCCGAGAGAACUGCCCUUGCCAGCCCUGUAUCCACCGGAAUUUUUUGCCUUCCCUAGGAAUUAAGUACCGGCUUUGGCUAAAUAGCCAUACACCUUUCCUAAUUAUCAUGUUAUGUCUUCCCAUUUUUGGAUCUUUAAAACUUGUGUAGUAAUAUCAUGUGCACGAAAGUUCCUCAAUCAUUGUCAAUUUGGCUUCUAUUGCAUGUGAUUGAUUCCUUCAUGUCAUGUGUAAAUUCUAAUAAAGGGCCAAAUGUCACUUUGGUGAUAAGAUUGUGUAACUUUUCUAUUAAAUGAGUCGGUGCAAUUUACCAGCUACAUCCAUCCUCCCAUAAAAUUUUUCCUCCCCCGCCUCAAUUUUAUUUUUUCGAGAAUGGUCCACGAAUAAUUGAGUGAAUGUUACCAAUUCGGUUUUUCAACUUGAUUUAUAACUAAGUGUAUAAUGGCACUAUUAUGUAGUGGGAUUAUUGAAAGGGAGAGUUUAAUAAUCUCAAUGUCUUAGUUUAGAAAAUACAUCCUUUCCAAAUAUUUUCAUGAAUUGUCUAGAAGUUUCAACUUUGUACUAUACUCAAAGUAAAAUGCCGUUAACGCCAUAAAAUUAAGUGGGCAAAUAUAAGUUAAGAGAAAAUUAAAAGAUGAAACAUCAAUAAUAAGUUCAAAACAAUGCGUAACAAUGAAAGAAUAUAAUAUGUGGCCAAGAAAUUGGGAUUCGAAACUCACUAGCGUAGAUCAAAAGAAAAUUUAGUUAUUAUUAUAUUAGUUAUAACAAAAUAUAUACUCAAACAUUACAUAUUUAGUUUAGAUAUUUCUACAGUGUGCAUGCUUGUAUGUAUUUCUGCUUUGUUCAGGAAACUUACCGUUAGGGGAUUGAAUUGGUGGUUCUUCGAUUACUUUCUUUAACUUCCCACACUUAUGUCAAAAUCUUAAAGAAGGUAGAUAUAGUGAGAAUUUAUUUUCAUUUUAACAAAUUGAAAAUGCCAUUAAUAGACAAAAAAACAUAACUUUCAAUAUACUAAAAUUUAUAUAUAUAUUUUUUAGUUUUAAUAUGCAUCCUUAUUUUGUUAAAGUGAUAAUGAUCUUAUUAGAAAAUGACUAUAUAUUUAGGAAUAUUAUCAUUUGUCCACCUAAAUUUAUAUAUAUAUAUAUAUAUAUAUAUAUAUAUAUAUAUAUAUAUAUAUAUAUAUAUAUAUAUAUAUAUAUAUAUAUAUUCAAGUUAGUAUUAACGUUUAGUGAAAAAUGCAUUUUUCUGACAUAUCAAUUUAGCAAUGAGAUAUUAUGAAACCCACAUUUUACCACUUUUUUUUUUUUUUGAAGUCUGUUAUACACAGAUAUUACUGACAUUACAUCAGACAUUACAAUUAAUAUUUACAAUCAUACUAUAUAACUGGGACCACCAUCAUACAUUGACACACUGAAGUAUAUGCCCAGAUAUUUUAAACCCUCUCUAAUAUUCGAGGGGUGCCUGCUCCACUCACAUUUCGUAAGGGAGAGACUGUCUCCACUCAAUUAAUUAAUAAUUGAGGAAGAACUGAAACUAACCUCCAUAAUGCUCUUAUGGAGGCUCGAACCCUUACACUCAACAUUAUAAGUGCAAGGCUUCUCCCAUUGGACCAAAGGCCCAUUGGUCACAUUUUACCACUUAAUAUUUAAACUUUUAUCAUUUUACUACCUAAUGUUUUAAGUUGUUAUUACUUUAUCACUUCCAGUGCACAAACAAUUUGUUGGAAAAAGUUUAAAUAUUCACUUAAAAAAAUUGUAAAUUCUCGGGUGCACAAGUGGAAAAAAGAAAUUCUUUCUAAUAUUCACAAAUAGAUUUGCUUUGUUAAUAAUUGUUAUGAGCCCAUCAAUUGAUCUAUUAUUCAAAAACAAUUAAUGUAAAAUCAAGUUGCCCAAAAAGCAAACAUAUAUUAAAAAAUAAAAAAAAUGAAAAAUAUAAGUUCACUUUUGAACGGUCCCAUAAUAUCAUACUAAAGAUGGCCAAUGGGGUCUGUGACACGUGUCUGUAUAUUACGGUACGAUAUGAGCACGUUUUGGUAGGGCACGCGGCAUGGCACGUGAGUCGUAUCGGACUUAGAAUUUUAGGCGCAAGGGUCUUAAAAGUAUGGUACGAUUAGAGAUGAGUUAAAGCACGGCACGCGAAAUGGCACGUAAUAAGCACGCUUUAUUGGUGGGCUAACACGCGGCCCGUGGUCCAUUAAUAGCACGUGGGCCAAAGUAUAUCAAAGUAAAAAAAAAUUAAUGAAAAGUCUACAUAAAAUGUUAUGAUUUUACAAAU
This 2287-nucleotide long non-coding RNA is filed under the name Citrus x clementina. RNAcentral's name for it is "Citrus clementina (C. clementina) long non-coding RNA (CCLE_LNC006800)". The record is from RNAcentral. Lineage: Eukaryota; Viridiplantae; Streptophyta; Magnoliopsida; Sapindales; Rutaceae.